This 1446-nucleotide ribosomal RNA is filed under the name uncultured bacterium. RNAcentral's name for it is "16S ribosomal RNA". It matches the Rfam family "Bacterial small subunit ribosomal RNA". The record is from RNAcentral.
CAUGCAAGUCGAGCGGAUGAAGGGAGCUUGCUCCUGGAUUCAGCGGCGGACGGGUGAGUAAUGCCUAGGAAUCUGCCUGGUAGUGGGGGAUAACGUCCGGAAACGGGCGCUAAUACCGCAUACGUCCUGAGGGAGAAAGUGGGGGAUCUUCGGACCUCACGCUAUCAGAUGAGCCUAGGUCGGAUUAGCUAGUUGGUGGGGUAAAGGCCUACCAAGGCGACGAUCCGUAACUGGUCUGAGAGGAUGAUCAGUCACACUGGAACUGAGACACGGUCCAGACUCCUACGGGAGGCAGCAGUGGGGAAUAUUGGACAAUGGGCGAAAGCCUGAUCCAGCCAUGCCGCGUGUGUGAAGAAGGUCUUCGGAUUGUAAAGCACUUUAAGUUGGGAGGAAGGGCAGUAAGUUAAUACCUUGCUGUUUUGACGUUACCAACAGAAUAAGCACCGGCUAACUUCGUGCCAGCAGCCGCGGUAAUACGAAGGGUGCAAGCGUUAAUCGGAAUUACUGGGCGUAAAGCGCGCGUAGGUGGUUCAGCAAGUUGGAUGUGAAAUCCCCGGGCUCAACCUGGGAACUGCAUCCAAAACUACUGAGCUAGAGUACGGUAGAGGGUGGUGGAAUUUCCUGUGUAGCGGUGAAAUGCGUAGAUAUAGGAAGGAACACCAGUGGCGAAGGCGACCACCUGGACUGAUACUGACACUGAGGUGCGAAAGCGUGGGCCGCAAAAAGGAUUAGAUACCUGGGUAGUCCACGCCGUAAACGAUGUCGACGAGCGUUGGGAUCCUUGAGAUCUUAGUGGCGCAGCUAACGCGAUAAGUCGACCGCCUGGGGAGUACGGCCGCAAGGUUAAAACUCAAAUGAAUUGACGGGGGCCCGCACAAGCGGUGGAGCAUGUGGUUUAAUUCGAAGCAACGCGAAGAACCUUACCUGGCCUUGACAUGCUGAGAACUUUCCAGAGAUGGAUUGGUGCCUUCGGGAACUCAGACACAGGUGCUGCAUGGCUGUCGUCAGCUCGUGUCGUGAGAUGUUGGGUUAAGUCCCGUAACGAGCGCAACCCUUGUCCUUAGUUACCAGCACCUCGGGUGGGCACUCUAAGGAGACUGCCGGUGACAAACCGGAGGAAGGUGGGGAUGACGUCAAGUCAUCAUGGCCCUUACGGCCAGGGCUACACACGUGCUACAAUGGUCGGUACAAAGGGUUGCCAAGCCGCGAGGUGGAGCUAAUCCCAUAAAACCGAUCGUAGUCCGGAUCGCAGUCUGCAACUCGACUGCGUGAAGUCGGAAUCGCUAGUAAUCGUGAAUCAGAAUGUCACGGUGAAUACGUUCCCGGGCCUUGUACACACCGCCCGUCACACCAUGGGAGUGGGUUGCUCCAGAAGUAGCUAGUCUAACCGCAAGGGGGACGGUUACCACGGAGUGAUUCAUGACUGGGGUGAAGUCGUAACAAGGU